RNAcentral lists this ribosomal RNA (1480 nucleotides) under uncultured Bordetella sp. RNAcentral's name for it is "partial 16S-23S ribosomal RNA intergenic spacer". It matches the Rfam family "Bacterial small subunit ribosomal RNA". Lineage: Bacteria; Pseudomonadati; Pseudomonadota; Betaproteobacteria; Burkholderiales; Alcaligenaceae. The record is from RNAcentral.
AGUUCGAUCUGGCUCAGAUUGAACGCUGGCGGGAUGCUUUACACAUGCAAGUCGAACGGCAGCACGGACUUCGGUCUGGUGGCGAGUGGCGAACGGGUGGUAAUGUGUAUCCGGAACGUGCCUAGUAGCGGGGGAUAACUACGCGAAAGCGUAGCUAAUACCACGCGCUACGCCCUUCGGGGAAAGCGGGGACCUUCGGGCCUCGCACUAUUAGAGCAGCCGAUAUCGGAUUAGCUAGUUGGUGGGGUAACGGCUCACCAAGGCGACGAUCCGUAGCUGGUUUGAGAGGACGACCAGCCACACUGGGACAGACACGGCCAGACUCCUACGGAGGCAGCAGUGGGAAUUUUGGACAAUGGGGGAAACCUGAUCCAGCCAUCCCGCGUGUUGAUGAAGGCCUUCAGGUUGUAAAGCACUUUUGGCAGGAAAGAAACGGCACGGGAUAAUACCCCGUGCAACUGACCAAUACCUGCAGAAUAAGCACCGGCUAACUACGUGCCAGCAGCCGCGGUAAUACGUAGGGUGCAAGCGUUAAUCGGAAUUACUGGGCGUAAAGCUGCGCAGGCGGUUCGGAAAGAAAGAUGUGAAAUCCCAGAGCUUAACUUUGGAACUGCAUUUUUUAACUACCGAGCUAGAGUGUGUCAGAGGGAGGUGGAAUUCCGCGUGUAGCAGUGAAAUGCGUAGAUAUGCGGAGGAACACCGAUGGCGAAGGCAGCCUCCUGGGAUAAACACUGACGCUCAUGCACAAGCGUGGGGAGCAAACAGGAUUAGAUACCCUGGUAGUCCACGCCCUAAACGAUGUCAACUAACUGUUGGGGCCCUUCGGGCCUUAGUAGCGCAGCUAACGUGAAGUUGACCGCCUGGGGAGUACGGUCGCAAGAUUAAAACUCAAAGGAAUUGACGGGGACCCGCACAAGCGGUGGAUGAUGUGGAUUAAUUCGAUGCAACGCGAAAAACCUUACCUACCCUUGACAUGUCUGGAAUCCCGAAGAGAUUUGGGAGUGCUCGCAAAGAGAACCGGAACAGGUGCUGCAUGGCUGUCGUCAGCUCGUGUCGUGAGAUGUUGGGUUAAGUCCCGCAACGAGCGCAACCCUUGUCAUUAGUUGCUACGAAGGGCACUCGGCAGGACUGCCGGUGACAAACCGGAGGGGAAGGUGGGGAUGACGUCAAGUCCUCACUUGGCCCUUAUGGGUAGGGCUUCACACGUCAUACAAUGGUCGGGACAGAGGGUCGCCAACCCGCGAGGGGGAGCCAAUCCCAGAAACCCGAUCGUAGUCCGGAUCGCAGUCUGCAACUCGACUGCGUGAAGUCGGAAUCGCUAGUAAUCGCGGAUCAGCAUGUCGCGGUGAAUACGUUCCGGGUCUUGUACACACCGCCCGUCACCAUGGGAGUGGGUUUACCAGAAGUAGUUAGCCUAACCGUAAGGAGGGCGAUUACCACGGUAGGAUUCAUGACUGGGGGUGAAGUCGUAACAAGGUAA